This 2800-nucleotide ribosomal RNA is filed under the name Clostridium perfringens. RNAcentral describes it as "partial 23S ribosomal RNA". It matches the Rfam family "Bacterial large subunit ribosomal RNA". Lineage: Bacteria; Bacillati; Bacillota; Clostridia; Eubacteriales; Clostridiaceae. The record is from RNAcentral.
GGUCAAGCUACAAAGGGCGCAUGGUGAAUGCCUUGGCAUCAGGAGCCGAUGAAGGACGUGAUAAGCUGCGAUAAGCUUCGGGUAGGCGCACAUAGCCUGAGAUCCGAAGAUCUCCGAAUGAGGAAACUCACAUGGGAAACCCCAUGUAUCAUUAAGUGAAUACAUAGCUUAAUGAAGGUAACCCAGGGAACUGAAACAUCUAAGUACCUGGAGGAAGAGAAAGAAAAAUCGAUUUUCUUAGUAGCGGCGAGCGAAAGGGAAAGAGCCCAAACCGGAAACUUGUUUCCGGGGUUGUGGACAUAACAUAAAAGUGGAGGCUAUUGUAACUGAAGAGAACUGGAAAGUUCCACCGUAGAAGGUAAUAGUCCUGUAAGUGAAACGAGAAGACCACGAGUUAUGAUCCAGAGUACCACGAGACACGUGAAACCUUGUGGGAAGCAGGGAGGACCACCUCCCAAGGCUAAAUACUACCUGAUGACCGAUAGUGAAGCAGUACCGUGAGGGAAAGGUGAAAAGAACCCCGGGAGGGGAGUGAAAUAGAACCUGAAACCGUGUGCCUACAACCGCUCAGAGCCCCUUAUGAGGGUGAUGAGGUGCUUUUUGUAGAACGAGCCAACGAGUUACGGUAUGUAGCAAGGUUAAGUACUUAAGGUACGGAGCCGAAGGGAAACCGAGUCUGAAUAGGGCGACUAGUUGCAUGCCGUAGACCCGAAACCGGGUGACCUAUCCAUGGCCAGGUUGAAGCGAGGGUAAAACCUCGUGGAGGACCGAACCACGUUGCUGUUGAAAAAGCAUGGGAUGAGCUGUGGAUAGCGGAGAAAUUCCAAUCGAACCCGGAGAUAGCUGGUUCUCUCCGAAAUAGCUUUAGGGCUAGCGUCGAGUAUGAGUAGUGGAGGUAGAGCACUGAAUGGGCUAGGGGGCAUAGCGCUUACCGAACCUUAUCAAACUCCGAAUGCCACAUACUUUGAGCUCGGCAGUCAGACUACGAAUGAUAAGAUCCGUGGUCAAAAGGGAAACAGCCCAGAUCGUCAGCUAAGGUCCCAAAGUGUAAGUUAAGUGGGAAAGGAUGUGAGAUUUCUAAGACAACUAGGAUGUUGGCUUAGAAGCAGCCAUUCAUUAAAAGAGUGCGUAAUAGCUCACUAGUCGAGAGAUCUUGCGCCGAAAAUGUAACGGGGCUAAACUUACCACCGAAGCUACGGGCUUGAACUUAGUUCAAGCGGUAGGAGAGCGUCGUAACCGGGCUGAAGUCGUACCGUAAGGAGCGGUGGACUGGUUACGAGUGAGAAUGUUGGCAUCAGUAGCGAGAUGUGGGUGAGAAUCCCACAGGCCGAAAACCUAAGGUUUCCUCAGGAAGGUUCGUCCGCUGAGGGUUAGUCGGGACCUAAGCCGAGGCCGAAAGGCGUAGGUGAUGGACAACUGGUUGAUAUUCCAGUACCACUACCAUCGUUAUUAUCGAUGGCGUGACGCAGGAGGAUAGUGUGUGCUAGCUAUUGGAUGCUAGUCUAAGCGUUUAGGCAGUGAGAGUAGGCAAAUCCGCUCUCAUAAUGCUGAGGCGUGAUGGGGAAGGUUCUACGGAACCGAAGUACAUGAUUCCACGCUGCCAAGAAAAGCGUCUAGAGAGAGAAGUAGUGCCCGUACCGCAAACCGACACAGGUAGGUGAGGAGAGAAUCCUAAGGCCGGCGGAAGAAUUACAGUUAAGGAACUCGGCAAAUUGACCCCGUAAGUUCGCGAGAAGGGGUGCCUACGAGAGUAGGCCGCAGAGAAUAGGCCCAAGCAACUGUUUAGCAAAAACACAGGUCUCUGCUAAAGCGUAAGCUGAUGUAUAGGGGCUGACGCCUGCCCGGUGCUGGAAGGUUAAGGGGAACACUUAGCGCAAGCGAAGGUGUGAACUUAAGCCCCAGUAAACGGCGGCCGUAACUAUAACGGUCCUAAGGUAGCGAAAUUCCUUGUCAGGUAAGUUCUGACCCGCACGAAUGGCGUAAUGACUUGGGCACUGUCUCAACUGUAAAUCCGGCGAAGUUGUAGUGCGAGUGAAGAUGCUCGCUACCCGCGAUUGGACGGAAAGACCCCGUAGAGCUUUACUGUAGCUUAGCAUUGAGUUUUGGUAUUGUCUGUACAGGAUAGGUGGGAGACUAGGAAACCAGGGCGUCAGCCUUGGUGGAGUCAACCUUGGGAUACCACCCUGACAGUACUGAAAUUCUAACUGGCGGCCAUGAAUCUGGUCACAGGACAUUGUUAGGUGGGCAGUUUGACUGGGGCGGUCGCCUCCUAAAAAGUAACGGAGGCGCCCAAAGGUUCCCUCAGAACGGUCGGAAAUCGUUCGAAGAGUGCAAAGGCAGAAGGGAGCCUGACUGCGACACCCACAAGUGGAGCAGGGACGAAAGUCGGGCUUAGUGAUCCGGUGGUACCUCGUGGGAGGGCCAUCGCUCAACGGAUAAAAGCUACCUCGGGGAUAACAGGCUGAUCUCCCCCAAGAGUCCACAUCGACGGGGAGGUUUGGCACCUCGAUGUCGGCUCGUCGCAUCCUGGGGCUGAAGUAGGUCCCAAGGGUUGGGCUGUUCGCCCAUUAAAGCGGCACGCGAGCUGGGUUCAGAACGUCGUGAGACAGUUCGGUCCCUAUCCGUCGCGGGCGUAGGAAAUUUGAGAGGAGCUGUCCUUAGUACGAGAGGACCGGGAUGGACUGACCUCUGGUGUACCAGUUGUUCCGCCAGGAGCACAGCUGGGUAGCUAAGUCGGGAAUGGAUAAACGCUGAAAGCAUCUAAGCGUGAAGCCAACCUCAAGAUGAGAUUUCCCAUAGC